CAAGGAAUAUUGCACAAUGGGCGAAAGCCUGAUGCAGCAACGCCGCGUGGGCGAUGAAGGCCUUCGGGUUGUAAAGCCCUUUUCUGCGGGAAGAGCAAGGACGGUACCGCAGGAAUAAGUCUCGGCUAACUACGUGCCAGCAGCCGCGGUAAUACGUAGGAGACGAGCGUUAUCCGGAUUUACUGGGUGUAAAGCGCAUGUAGGCGGGUUCUCAAGUCGGGCAUGAAAUCUUUCGGCUUAACCGGGAGGGGUGGUCCGAUACUAGGAGCCUAGAGGGCAGGAGAGGGAAGCGGAAUUCCCGGUGUAGUGGUGGAAUACGUAGAUAUCGGGAGGAACACCAGUGGCGAAGGCGGCUUCCUGGCCUGUGCCUGACGCUAAGAUGCGAAAGCGUGGGUAGCAAACGG
This 404-nucleotide ribosomal RNA is filed under the name uncultured bacterium. RNAcentral's name for it is "bacterial SSU rRNA". It matches the Rfam family "Bacterial small subunit ribosomal RNA", at positions 355 to 775 of the family's 1533-position model. The record is from RNAcentral.